Sinocyclocheilus rhinocerous is the source of this 176-nucleotide long non-coding RNA. RefSeq lists it as uncharacterized. NCBI's taxonomy places the organism in Eukaryota, Metazoa, Chordata, Actinopteri, Cypriniformes, Cyprinidae. The record is from RefSeq and is a predicted model, not a curated record. The transcript has 3 exons.
UUCGAAACAUAACGGUCAUCUACCACUCUACGCUGAGGAAAAGAGAUAAGCAUUUCAACAGAGCCACAUCACUGAAUGGAAUUACACACCAAGCCAUUCCACUGUCCUUCCUGUGUGUUUGGCUUUUUCAGAACCUGCACGGUGAGUCUCCUUGAAUAACUGACUGUACAACUCUU